GAGAGCCGACUGAAGGCCGUUCCCCUGCGCCGGGUGUACGGCGAUUCCUGCCUGGAUGGGACCGUUUCUGGAAUGAAUGCCGCACAGAAAUCCCAAGCCAGAAGCUGCCUGAGAAUGGUUCUAGGGGUGGGUCCAACGGAAUGGUUUUGCACUCGCCAGCCAUUUAGCAUCUCAAUUGAGCCUCAGUUUCUCCUCAUUUCUCAUUGGGAAUAAUCUAGGCGGCUUGUUAGGAUUGAAUGAGGUGAUGCGAAUACCUAGCUCAGAGAUAGGGAGCUCUACACCGGGGUACGAUCGUUACUGAUCCUGCCAAUGCUGCUGCUACUGUUGCCUCCAACAUAGGUUGUGCUCAGCCCUCAAGGGCCCUUGAAAUUAUGCGCAUCAUGUAACUCUUCUUUUUUCACCCUCGGUCCCCACCUACCAUCCUGUUUCCUGUUAAGUGAAGCUGUCUUCAGAAUUCCCUGGAAGAGAAGCAGAGGCAAAAGGGGGCUUUCUUGAUUGCUGACACUCAGGUGGAGGUUAAGGGUGCAGGUUCUCCUUCCUCAAGUUGGGAAUUACUGCCAUGUGGCCAUGUGGGCUCCAGUUACUGAUGGGACUGUAACGGCUCUCUCCACUAUAGCCUCAGGUUCUCUUCUCCUCUUCCCAAUAAGUGAAUGUUGACAAAAUGAUUUUUUUUUUUUUGAGAAGGAGUUUCGCUCUUGUCGCCCAGGCUGGAGUGCAGUGGCGGGAUCUUGGCUCACUGCAACCUCCGCCUCCUGGGUUCAAGCUAUUCUCCCGCCUCAGCCUCCCGAGUAGCUGGGAUUACAGGCGCCCGCCACCACGCCCCGCUAAUUUUUUGCAUUUUUAGUAGAGACAGGGUUUCGCCAUAUUGGGCAGGCGGGUCUCGAACUCCUGACCUCAGGUGAUCCUGCCCACCUCUGCCUCCCAAAGUGCUGGGCCACCAGGCGUGAGCCACCACCUCUGGCCGACAAAGUGAUGUUUUAAAUUACAAAAGUGCAUCUUUCUUUGAAGGCUUUGUAUUUUACUCAUAAAAUCAAGAGGAUAGCAAUUCCUUUCUCGUCCCCACUUUCCUUUUCUUCUAGGCCUUCACACCUCUAAGAUACCAGAUGCGGUUAUUUUUGGAGCUAACUCUUGAUGGGAAUUUAGAUCUGCAGAAGGUGUUCCAAAAAAAAUCCUAAUUUUCAGGUGUUCUCAAAUUUCCCAUUUUUACAUACCCCCUUGGCUUCUGAGACACAUAUAUGCCUGAUUUUUCAUUUAUAUUAUUUUCUGGAGGUAAUGAAAGGGUUCUGCCUGUCAAAAGGCACUUUGCUAUCUAAUAUGGAUCUGUGUCCCCACCCAAAUCUCAUGUUGAAUUGUAAUCCCCAAUGUUGGAGGUGGGGUCUGGUGGGAAGUAAUGGGAUCAUGGGGGUAGAUCCUUCAUGAAUGGCUUAGCACUGUCCCUUUGGUUCUCUUCUUGUGAGUUCUCACAAGAUCUGGUUGUUUAAAAGUGUAUGGUGUCGGCUAGGCGCGGUGGCUCAUACCUAUAAUCCCAGCACUUUGGGAGGCCGAGGCAAGUGGAUCACCUGAGGUUAGGAGUUUGAGACUAGCCUGGCCAAAAUGGCAAAACCCUGUCUCUACUAAAAAUGCAAAAAUUAGCCAGGCAUGAUGGUGUGUGUCUGCAAUCCCAGCUACUCGGGAGGCUGAGGCAGGAGAAUCACUUGAACCCAGGAGGUGGAGAUUGCAGUGAGCUGAGAUUGUGCCACUGCACUCCAGCCUGGGCAACAGUGAGGCUGUCUUAAAAAAAAAAAGUGUAUGGCACCUCCCCCCACUUCUCUUUUCCUCCUACUCCAGCCUUGUGAGGUGCUCGCUCCCCCUUCGCCUUCCACCAUGAAUGUAAGUUUUCUGAGUCCUCCCCUGAAGCCCAGCAGAUGCCAGCAUCAUGCUUUCUGUACAGCCAUGAGCCAAUUAAACCUCUUCUUUAUAAAUUAUCCAGUGCCAGGCAUUUAUUUAUAGCAGUGUGAGAACAGACUAAUAGAGUGUUCCUUCUGGAAACAGCAGGCUCAUGGGUUAGAAAGCAGCAC
Molecule: long non-coding RNA, 2057 nt
Filed under: Homo sapiens (human)
Lineage: Eukaryota; Metazoa; Chordata; Mammalia; Primates; Hominidae
Description: non-protein coding lnc-DCAF1-2:1
Source: RNAcentral